Molecule: non-coding RNA, 488 nt
Organism: Pogona vitticeps (central bearded dragon)
Lineage: Eukaryota; Metazoa; Chordata; Lepidosauria; Squamata; Agamidae
Source: RefSeq, a predicted model, not a curated record
UGACAUAAUUUCUAUGCUCUAAUUGGCUGCUGCCUACCUCAGUCACCUUUGGCUGCCCCGCCUACAUCCCCCCCUCGGCCUCGCCCCUUUCUUGAGCAUUCCAAAGUACUCGACAGGCGUUGAUGGGGGAUGUUGUCACUCAGCGGCCUCCCUGGUUUGUUUGGUUCCUCCGCCUGUCACUCUCGAAGUUGGUGGGCGGGAGCUUCCGCGGCUGUAAGGCGCUGAGCCGGCCGCUGUGAGGUGGAGCUUUGCGGACUGAGGGAAGUUUUCGUCUCUCGGUGGCGGCGGCGGCUCCGAAGGGAAGAGGACGGCGAGCCUUCUGCAGCUGGCAUGGAGUCGUGAGCCGGUGAUUGGAACUCUUGGUAUGGAACUGAGCUGGACUGAUUUGUGGGAACUAUAAGGUUGCCAUCACGAAAGCCAAAGUGGAUUUCUCCAGUGUGUUGUGCCUGCCCCCUUCCGUCAUUGCUGGAAAUGGGCUGGACGGAGGA